RNAcentral lists this ribosomal RNA (254 nucleotides) under uncultured bacterium. Its description in RNAcentral is "partial 16S ribosomal RNA". It matches the Rfam family "Bacterial small subunit ribosomal RNA", at positions 524 to 776 of the family's 1533-position model. The record is from RNAcentral.
CACGUAGGGAGCAAGCGUUGUCCGGAUUUAUUGGGCGUAAAGAGCUCGUAAGUGGUUCGGUAAGUCAGGUGUGAAACCUCCAGGCUCAACCUGGAGACGCCACUUGAUACUGCUGUGACUGGAGUCCGGUAGGGGAGCGUGGAAUUCCUGGUGUAGCGGUGAAAUGCGCAGAUAUCAGGAGGAGCACCAGCGGCGAAGGCGGCGCUCUGGGCCGGUACUGACACUGAGGAGCGAAAGCGUGGGUAGCAAACAGG